This 1680-nucleotide ribosomal RNA is filed under the name Triticum aestivum (bread wheat). RNAcentral's name for it is "partial small subunit ribosomal RNA". Lineage: Eukaryota; Viridiplantae; Streptophyta; Magnoliopsida; Poales; Poaceae. The record is from RNAcentral.
AUGGCACCUCAGCGGCAGCAGCAGCAGCACAAGGCCGCCGUGGUCGCGCUCUUCCUGCUGUCCGCCCUCGUGGCCGCGCCCGCCGUUGCUGCUUCCAGGCCCGAAUCCGGCGGCUACGCACCCGCCACGCCCUCCGAGGCCGCGACGCCGGCCGAGCCCGCCGCCAGCACGCCCUCCAAGAAGGCGGCAGGCUACACUGACUCUACGCCGGCCGAGUCCUCAGCCAGCACGCCCGCCGAGGCGGCGACGCCCGCCAAGAAGGCGGGAGGCUACACUGACUCUACACUGGCCGACUCCUCAGCCAGCACGCCCAUCGAGGCGGCGACGCCGACCAAGGCCGCCGCCAGCACGCCCGCUGAGGGGGGGACGCCGACCGAGGCCGCCGCCAGCGCGCCCGCCGAGGCGGGGACGCCGACCGAGGCCGCCGCCAGCACUCCCGCUGAGGGGGGAACGCCCGACAAGGCCGCGGCGGGCUACACUGACACUACGCCGGCCGAGCAGCCCGCCGCCGAUGGCACUAAGGUCAAGGUGCCGCCCGGGGAGGGGAAGGCGACGACGCCCGAGCAGAAGUUCAUCGAGAAGGUGAACCAAGCGUUCAAGAAGGCUCUGGACGCGGCCAACGCGGCGGCGCCCGACGACAAGUUUUCGGUGUUCGACGCCGCCUUCAACAGGGAGAUCAAGCAGUGCCUCGCCGGCAUGAGUGCCAAAUUCAUCUCCAUGAUCGACCGCGCCUUCAAGAUAGCGUACAACUCCGCCGUCGCCGCCACCAACGCGCAGGAAAAGUUCUCCUGCUUGGUGCUCACCCUCACGGAGGCCCUCCGCUUCAUUGCCGCCACCCUGGACGCCCACGCCAUCAAGCCAGCAAUCGAGGAGGUGGUUGCCGGAGGCAUGAAGGCCGCGGACGGCGCGACGCAGGUCAUCAAGAAGCUCGACACGAUCAUCAAGGCAGCCUCCGCUGCUGCCAAAGAAGCUCCGAAAGCCGACAGGAUCCUCGUGUUCCAAGCCGCCCUCAACAAGGCCAUCAAGGAGCAGAUGGGCCCCGGCUACGACGGGAGCAAGACGACCUCCGAUCUCGACGCGGCGUUCAAAAAGGCCGUCGAAUCCGCCGCCACCUCCAAGCCGGAGGCUAAGGACACCGACGUGGCGGACGCCUUGGCGAAGUCCAUCACCACCAUUGCCAAUGCCACCAAGGAUGGCGCCGAAACUGCUGCCGCGCCCGCCGCAGAAGCCGGUACCAAGACUGCAGCUGCCGACGCCGGCUACAAGGCCGCCGACAAAUCCGCUGCCGAGCCCGCUGCCGCGCCAGCUGCCGAAGCCGCCGACAAAUCCGCUGCCGAGCCCGCUGCCGUGCCAGCUGCCGAAGCCGCCGACAAAUCCGCUGCCGAGCCCGCUGCCGCGCCAGCUGCCGAAGCCGCAACCGCGCCCGCUGCCGAAGCCGCUACCAAGCCCGCGGCUGAUGAAUCCGGUUACAAGGCCAAGGCCAAGGCCAAGGCCAAGGCCGAAGCCGCUCCCGAGCCCGCAGCAGAAUCCGCUACCAAGUCCGCUGCCAAGCCCGCAGCCGAUGCCCCUGCCGAGCCCGCUGCGGAAGCGGCUACCAAGCCCGCAGAUGGCAAAUCUGGCUACAAGGCCGCCGCCGAUGCCGCGACCAAACCUGCUGCCGCAGGCGGCUACAAUCUGUGA